Molecule: ribosomal RNA, 485 nt
Filed under: uncultured bacterium
Lineage: Bacteria
Description: partial 16S ribosomal RNA
Rfam family: Bacterial small subunit ribosomal RNA
Source: RNAcentral
ACUCAAAUGAAUAGACGGGGUCCCGCACAAGCAGUGGAUCAUGUGGUUUAAUUCGAUGGUACACGAAGAACCUUACCGAGGCUUGACAUCCCUGGAAUCCCCUGGAAACAGGGGAGUGCCGCAAGGAAUCAGGUGACAGGUGCUGCAUGGCCGUCCUCAGCUCGUGUCGUGAGAUGUUGGGUUAAGUCCCGCAACGAGCGCAACCCUUGUCGUGUGUUGUAUUUUUCACGCGAGACUGCCCGGGCCAACCGGGAGGAAGGUGGGGAUGAUGUCAGGUCUGCAUGGCCCUUACGCCUCGGGCCACACACGUGAUACAAUGGCCGCCACAACGCGUUGCGAAGCUGUAAAGUGGAGCUAAUCGCAUCAAAAGCGGUCUCAGUUCGGAUUGAGGGCUGCAACUCGCCCUCAUGAAGCCGGAAUUGCUAGUAACCGUGGGUCAGCAUACCACGGUGAAUACGUUCCCGGGACUUGUACACACCGCCCGU